Molecule: ribosomal RNA, 492 nt
Filed under: uncultured bacterium
Lineage: Bacteria
Description: partial 16S ribosomal RNA
Rfam family: Bacterial small subunit ribosomal RNA
Source: RNAcentral
AGUGAACGCUGGCGGUAGGCCUAACACAUGCAAGUCGAACGGCAGCACAGUAAGAGCUUGCUCUUGCGGGUGGCGAGUGGCGGACGGGUGAGGAAUACAUCGGAAUCUACUUUUUCGUGGGGGAUAACGUAGGGAAACUUACGCUAAUACCGCAUACGACCUACGGGUGAAAGCAGGGGAUCUUCGGACCUUGCGCGAUUGAAUGAGCCGAUGUCGGAUUAGCUAGUUGGCGGGGUAAAGGCCCACCAAGGCGACGAUCCGUAGCUGGUCUGAGAGGAUGAGCAGCGACACUGGAACUGAGACACGGUCCAGACUCCUACGGGAGGCAGCAGUGGGGAAUAUUGGGCAAGGGGCGCAAGCGUGAUCCAGACAUACCGCGUGGGUGAAGAAGGCCUUCGGGUUGUAAAACGCUUUUGUGGGGAAAGAAAAGCAGCAGGUUAAUACCCCGCUGUUCUGACGGUACCCAAAGAGUAAGCACCGGCUAACUUCGUG